GGCUUAGAGUUUGAUCAUGGCUCAGGAUGAACGCUGGCGGCGUGCCCAACACAUGCAAGUCGAGCGAAGCACUUUGCUUUGAAUCUUUCGGGAGGACGAGUGAUUUGACUGAGCGGCGGACGGGUGAGUAACGCGUGGGCAACCUGCCUCACACAGGGGGAUAACAGUUAGAAAUGACUGCUAAUACCGCAUAAGGCCACAGCACCGCAUGGUGCAGGGGUAAAAACUCCGGUGGUGUGAGAUGGGCCCGCGUCUGAUUAGGUAGUUGGUGAGGUAACGGCUCACCAAGCCGACGAUCAGUAGCCGACCUGAGAGGGUGACCGGCCACAUUGGGACUGAGACACGGCCCAAACUCCUACGGGAGGCAGCAGUGGGGAAUAUUGCACAAUGGGGGAAACCCUGAUGCAGCGACGCCGCGUGAGCGAUGAAGUAUUUCGGUAUGUAAAGCUCUAUCAGCAGGGAAGAAACUGACGGUACCUGACUAAGAAGCACCGGCUAAAUACGUGCCAGCAGCCGCGGUAAUACGUAUGGUGCAAGCGUUAUCCGGAUUUACUGGGUGUAAAGGGAGCGUAGACGGACUUGCAAGUCUGAAGUGAAAGCCCGGGGCUCAACCCCGGGACUGCUUUGGAAACUGUAGGUCUAGAGUGCUGGAGAGGUAAGU
This 661-nucleotide ribosomal RNA is filed under the name uncultured organism. Its description in RNAcentral is "bacterial SSU rRNA". It matches the Rfam family "Bacterial small subunit ribosomal RNA", at positions 1 to 662 of the family's 1533-position model. The record is from RNAcentral.